Molecule: long non-coding RNA, 231 nt
Filed under: Phaseolus vulgaris (common bean)
Lineage: Eukaryota; Viridiplantae; Streptophyta; Magnoliopsida; Fabales; Fabaceae
Description: long non-coding RNA (PVUL_LNC002284)
Source: RNAcentral
UGGCACACUAAGGUUGAGUCUCUAGCCCUCUAUUUAUCCUAGUUUUCUAGGGUUAGGUUGUUUAUUGUGUCGCGCUAAUGGGCUAAAUGAUAAAACAUAAAAAAGGCCCAAUAUUUCUUUGCAUCUUUUUCCAUUCUGGGACCUUCUAUCUUUAUCUUUUUAGCUCAAAUCAUUCAUCUUUAAUCCAAAUCUCCAAUCUUCCUUAGAAAUCUGCAAUUAACACCAAAUUUG